Molecule: non-coding RNA, 924 nt
Organism: Hydra vulgaris (swiftwater hydra)
Lineage: Eukaryota; Metazoa; Cnidaria; Hydrozoa; Anthoathecata; Hydridae
Source: RefSeq, a predicted model, not a curated record
AAAAGGCAAUCAAGUUGAUAACCGUUGAGUUGUACCUUAUAACCCAUGGCUUUUAAGCUUUUUAAAAAAUAUUAAGCGGACAUAAAUGUUGAAGCCGGCAAAUAUUUUCCGUUGUAAAAAGAGGGCAACCAGCAUAUUGUUAAAGCCUGUAUAAAAUGUUCUCAACAUUUGCAAUAUGUUUAGCGAUUUUCAUUAACAGAAAAUAUGAAGGUUCAGGCCGAAAAAGAGGAAAUCUCUCGAUGAAUUCUCUUUUAAAACUUGGUAGAGGAACAUUACUGUUAAAAGCAGAUGGUCCCUUUCGCGGGUGCAUUGAAAUUCCUGAGCAGUGCUUGCUUGCAGCAAAUGGAUCUAUAGUAGACAAGAUUUUUGGAGUUGCAGAAGAAGAUGAUUAUGCAAAACAUGCCAUUUUGACACCUACUAAUGUAGAUUGUUUAGCAAUAAAUGAAGAAGCUUUGGACCGUUUACCAGGCAAUGUAAAAGUUUAUUUAAGUGUAGAUGCUAUUGAAAAGAUGAUCUUAACGAAAUCAACGACUUUCCUGUUGAGUUUUUAAACAGUCUUACUUCAUCGGGAAUCACUAUUCAUUGCCUAAAACUAAAAACUGGUGCUGUUAUAAUGUUACUUCGAAAUUUAUUUCUUAAAGCUGAACUUUGCAAUGGUACCCGAUUGAUGGUGCGUACUCUACAAAAUAAUAACAUUGAUGGGCAAGUUCUAACAGUUGUUUCAGUUGGCAAGAGGGUAUUUGUUCCUCGAGUUCAGUUAACUCAAUCUGAUUCAAAUUUAUCUUUUACUCUUAAACGUCGUCAAUUUCCUGCUUAGCUCAUAUUCGUGUUGAUCUGUCAGGGUUAUGGAAAAAUAAAAAGUCGAGUUCCUUUUCCUAUGGCUGACUUGAUUAUGGCUUACCUAAAGCCUAAUAAUAAUGAAAC